CAUUAAGAAGCUAAAAUAGCGUUAACCUUUUAAGUUAAAGACUGAGAGACAAGACUCCCCUUAA
Molecule: transfer RNA, 64 nt
Filed under: Platanista minor (Indus River dolphin)
Lineage: Eukaryota; Metazoa; Chordata; Mammalia; Artiodactyla; Platanistidae
Description: transfer RNA-Lys
Rfam family: tRNA
About the family: Transfer RNA (tRNA) molecules are approximately 80 nucleotides in length. Their secondary structure includes four short double-helical elements and three loops (D, anti-codon, and T loops). Further hydrogen bonds mediate the characteristic L-shaped molecular structure. tRNAs have two regions of fundamental functional importance: the anti-codon, which is responsible for specific mRNA codon recognition, and the 3' end, to which the tRNAs corresponding amino acid is attached (by aminoacyl-tRNA synthetases). tRNAs cope with the degeneracy of the genetic code in two manners: having more than one tRNA (with a specific anti-codon) for a particular amino acid; and 'wobble' base-pairing, i.e. permitting non-standard base-pairing at the 3rd anti-codon position.
Source: RNAcentral